GAUGAACGCUGGCGGCAUGCUUAACACAUGCAAGUCAAACGGAAUGUCCGUGUUUAUCUUGGGUUUGCGUGGGGGACGGGUGAGUAACGCGUAAGGAACUCGCCUCCCUGCCAUGGAGAACACUUGAAAACAAUUGCGCAUACCUCGUAUUAUAAUUCUAGCUCCUCCUAUAGUUAUGAAAGCUAUAAGCGCUGUGGGAGGGCUUUGCGGCUCAUUAGCUUGUUGGGGGGGUAGUGGCUUACCAAGGCGAUGAUGGGUAGCCGGCCUGAGAGGGUGACCGGCCAAAAGGGGACUGAGACAGGGCCCUUACUCAUACGGGAGGAAGAAGGGGGGAAUAUGGGAAAAGGGACCGAGAGUCUGAUAGAGAAAUUCUGUGUGGAAGAUGAAGUUUUUCGGAAUGUAAAGUUCUUGCAGUUGGGAAGAAACAAAUGACGGUACCAACAGAAGAAGUGACGGCUAAAUACGUG
RNAcentral lists this ribosomal RNA (467 nucleotides) under uncultured bacterium. RNAcentral's name for it is "partial 16S ribosomal RNA". It matches the Rfam family "Bacterial small subunit ribosomal RNA", at positions 28 to 507 of the family's 1533-position model. The record is from RNAcentral.